This is a long non-coding RNA of Olea europaea var. sylvestris, 603 nucleotides long. RefSeq lists it as uncharacterized. The transcript is spliced from 3 exons. The record is from RefSeq and is a predicted model, not a curated record. Lineage: Eukaryota; Viridiplantae; Streptophyta; Magnoliopsida; Lamiales; Oleaceae.
ACUGUGCUCAAAUCCCGCUCUCACUCUACGCUUUUGUAGACACGCGAUUAUAUACACCACCUUCCAUUUUCUCACACAAUCUCACCUUCACACUCACUCACUCACUUAUUACUUUCUCUCUAUAUGUAGAUAUACACAUCGGGUUGUAUCUAUACACCACUGGAUAAAGGAUCCGGGUGAAAUGAAUCCCGAUUGCUGUGUGCCGAGCUCUUGAUGUAAAUGCAGACUUUAAUGGAGGCAUACUAAUUUUGUUCUAUGAACGUCAUCCUAUGAGGCAUGCAACUAUGAACAAAGAGAAUAGAUCUUCAGAAGUUGUAGGUCCUACAAUGCGAAUCACACGAGCACGGACUAAAGCCUUAGGCUCGUCAGGAGGAUUGCCACCUUUGCAUCCCUCAACCAAACAGGACGCUAGACGGGUUUUGCAAACGACCUCCAAAAGAGUAGCAUCUGACGAGAACGAACCUGCUGCAAGUUCCUCUGCAUUUUCUCAGCAUAAGAAAAGGGCCAUUCUUAAAGAAGUAACUAACACACUCUGUGAAAAUUCAUACAGAAACUGCAUCAAUGCAACAAAAGUUCAUCUUAGUAAACUGGAUAGAAAAAUUA